Molecule: microRNA precursor, 61 nt
Filed under: Drosophila melanogaster (fruit fly)
Lineage: Eukaryota; Metazoa; Arthropoda; Insecta; Diptera; Drosophilidae
Description: microRNA dme-mir-9372 precursor
Source: miRBase by way of RNAcentral
UAAAAGCACAUUUCGCCAGCACGUGUACUUUCCACCUCGUCUGUGAUUUUGGUUUUUAACG